RNAcentral lists this unclassified non-coding RNA (200 nucleotides) under uncultured fungus. RNAcentral's name for it is "sequence contains ITS1". The record is from RNAcentral. Lineage: Eukaryota; Fungi.
UUAACGUUUUCACGUUGGUUCGGACGACACGGUACAGGUUGGGUUAGGGGCCUCUAGCGGGCGCACGCGAGCGAGGAGCCCGCGGCUAGGGGCCUAGGCGGCCCGCUAAAGCAACAUGGUACAGACGGCACGGGGUGGGAGUUCGCCCCCGGGGGGGCGCGAGCUCGGUAAUGAUCCUUCCGCAGGUUCACCUACGGAAA